GAAAUGCGAUAAGUAAUGUGAAUUGCAGAAUUCAGUGAAUCAUCGAAUCUUUGAACGCACAUUGCGCCCGCCAGUAUUCUGGCGGGCAUGCCUGUUCGAGCGUCAUUACAACCCUCAGGCCCCCGGGCCUGGCGUUGGGGAUCGGCGGAAGCCCUCUGCGGGCACAACGCCGUCCCCCAAAUACAGUGGCGGUCCCGCCGCAGCUUCCAUUGCGUAGUAGCUAACACCUCGCAACUGGAGAGCGGCGCGGCCACGCCGUAAAACACCCAACUUCUGAAUGUUGACCUCGAAUCAGGUAGGAAUACCCGCUGAACUUAAGC
This 320-nucleotide unclassified non-coding RNA is filed under the name plant metagenome. Its description in RNAcentral is "partial contains 5.8S ribosomal RNA, internal transcribed spacer 2, and large subunit ribosomal RNA". The stretch from base 1 to 105 matches the Rfam family "5.8S ribosomal RNA", at positions 50 to 154 of the family's 154-position model. The record is from RNAcentral.